CUCAGUGAAAUCCUGGCAGGGAGCAGCUCCUCGCGUCGGGGUCAGCACCCUGCUGGGCGGGCUAUCAGACAAGCUGGUAUUUGGGUGGCUCCCCACCCUCAGCAGCCUGGAGCUCCAUCUUUUUUCCUCCGUGACUCUGUGCAUAAAGCCUAGGGUCUGUGAUGCAUUUAUUGUCUUUCUCUCCUGUUACCUGGAGCAGCCAGUGCUCCAGUUUCCCUUUGGGGUUUUGCUCCUUGAACCGGUUUUGACAUCCCGCAACAUCCAGGCUCAUUGUUUUCCCUUGCUGAAGGUCUUGAAUUCCCAGAUUUUAGAUGCAGGCUUCUUCCAUCACAACACGCUCUUCCAGCCUCAGCUGUAAGUCUCCAUCGGGUAUUUGAAUGUUACUUAAACUGGAAUUAGAGUCAUCAGCUUAGUAAUCCUCCAAAUUACUGCAUAACCAGAGACAGAGUGUGGUGGGAAGAGCUGCCUCUGGGUGUCCUGCCCAAGCUGUGUGAUCUUGAGCAAGUCAGUUCACUUCUCUGAGCCUCCGCUUCAGCAUCAGGCUAUUUGGAAACAGGAGCAGAUGGUCAGACAACCUCCACUCUAGGGUGACCUCCCACCAGCUCCUUCUUCCUCUCCCAAGUCCCAGGCUGAGCUGUCCCACAUCCCAGAUCUCAAAGCUCUCAGAACGGUGGUUCUCAAAGUGGGGUCCUUGGACCAGCAGCAUCAGCAUCGCCGAGAACUGGUUAAAAAUGCAAAUUCUUGGGCUUCAUCCCAGACCUACAGAUCCAGAAACUCAGGGGGUGGGUUUUAAUCCCAGCCGUCUGUGCUUUAACAAGCCCUCCAGGUGAUUCUGAUGCACACGGAGGCUGAGGACCACUCCCCGGGAGAAUCUGUGCCGGGAUACCCCUCUAAGUCAGAGGCUUCUUCUGCCUCCAUAAUAAUGGCCACACUUGGCACCCCUACAUCUUCCAAGUGCUUUCCACCUCCAGCUGCCCACUGCAACUAGCACCAUCCCUCUGAGGAGAGAAGGAAUCGUUCUUCCAUUUUACACACGAGGAAACUGAGGCUCAGGGCCUCGCCCAAGGUCACGGACGGCAGAACCAGGUCUCCAUCUGGCCUCCUCAUUCCAAGGCAGGGGUUCUUUCCUGGCUACCUUGUGGUUUUCCGGGCUCCUUAGACCAAAGGAAUAAACACAUUCCCACCCACCAGAAAAGAAAUCCCCACUUCCAGCCCUCUCUCCCCAAUUUCCAGUUGCAAUCCCAGGAGAGAGCAUCCAGGAAACAUAAAUUUUGCUGGCGGCUGAGUAAGAGCUCUGAAAGGAGUUACACGUCAGGGAGAUGGGACUUUAUUUCUCAAUGAAAUAGCCUUUUUAUGGUUGGAAUAAAAGUGCCAGCGGGAGCCUAAUGCCAGGAAGUAGCGAGCACGUUUGAUAAACUCCUUC
This 1423-nucleotide long non-coding RNA is filed under the name Equus caballus (horse). RNAcentral's name for it is "lncRNA (ENSECAG00000060292.1)". The record is from RNAcentral. Lineage: Eukaryota; Metazoa; Chordata; Mammalia; Perissodactyla; Equidae.